Molecule: ribosomal RNA, 355 nt
Filed under: uncultured bacterium
Lineage: Bacteria
Description: bacterial SSU rRNA
Rfam family: Archaeal small subunit ribosomal RNA
Source: RNAcentral
UUCUGAUAAAGGAAUCUUUUGCCCGUCCUAAAAACACGGGCGAAUAAGGGGUGGGCAAGUCUGGUGUCAGCCGCCGCGGUAAUACCAGCACCUCGAGUGGUCAGGACGAUUAUUGGGCCUAAAGCAUCCGUAGCUGGUUUUGCAAGUCUCCGGUUAAAUCCACCUGCUUAACAGAUGGGCCGCUGGAGAUACUACAAGACUAGGGAGUGGGAGAGGCAGACGGUAUUCGGGGGGUAGGGGUAAAAUCCUCUGAUCCUUUGAGGACCACCAGUGGCGAAGGCGGUCUGCCAGAACACGUUCGACAGUGAGGGAUGAAAGCUGGGGGAGCAAACCGGAUUAGAUACCCCCGUAGUCC